This is a long non-coding RNA of Toxorhynchites rutilus septentrionalis, 649 nucleotides long. RefSeq lists it as uncharacterized. Lineage: Eukaryota; Metazoa; Arthropoda; Insecta; Diptera; Culicidae. The record is from RefSeq and is a predicted model, not a curated record. The transcript is spliced from 4 exons.
UUGUUAUUGACAAUCGAUAUGUGGUUUUUAUUUACAAAGAAAAAAAGGGUUAGUUUUCUGAAAAUUAACUUUCUGACAGGGUUUUCCCUUAUUUCAGUUCCAAUCUCUGAAAAGACAAUGAAAACACUGCUUAUUCGAUCAUGGAUUAUCGGAAGAAAACAUCCUAAGUAAAUUAGGUUGCUUUCUGUGUAGGUUCCCUAUUUUACAAAUGGUUAGAACUUUUAAGCGAAAAAGAGAGCAAUAUUGGUCGAUCACUAGUUUGAAGUGUUAUGAAAGCUAUAGAAGAAGGUUUGUCUGUUCUGGGUGCUUCAAAACAGUUCGGUGAGCCAGAACCUACUUUGAGACUCUAUCGACGAAAAUAUCCAGACAUGGAGGAUACGUCGUCCAAUAAAGGCCGCUUUAAAGCCACACUCAGGUCCAGCUUCGAAGAAUUGCCUAUUCGUUUGCGGUUAAAAAUGGCAUAGAGCCCCCUUUCAAAGGAACAUGCGCUGGACGGACAUGGGUUGAAAUGUUUAUGAAGAUUCAUAAGCUAUCUUUGAGAAAGCCAGAAAACAACUCAGUGGCUUGAUUAAUGGCGUUCAAUAAAGAAAAUUGUGACUAAUUUUUUCUAACUUUGGGAGAUAUACGAGCUCAGUAUCGUUUUCCUGCG